This 468-nucleotide ribosomal RNA is filed under the name uncultured bacterium. RNAcentral's name for it is "partial 16S ribosomal RNA". It matches the Rfam family "Bacterial small subunit ribosomal RNA", at positions 28 to 507 of the family's 1533-position model. The record is from RNAcentral.
GACGAACGCUGGCGGCGUGCUUAACACAUGCAAGUCGAACGGAAAGGCCCUGCUUUUGUGGGGUGCUCGAUUGGCGAACGGGUGAGUAACACGUGAGUAACCUGCCCUUGACUUUGGGAUAACUUUAGGAAACUGGGGCUAAUACCGGAUAUGAUCUCCUGCUGCAUGGUGGGGGUUGGAAAGUUUCGGCGGUUGGGGAUGGACUCGCGGCUUAUCAGCUUGUUGGUGAGGUAGUGGCUUACCAAGGCUUUGACGGGUAGCCGGCAUUGGAGGGUGACCGGGCACAUUGGGACUGAGAUACGGACCAGACUCCUACGGGAGGCAGCAGUGGGGAAUAUUGCACAAUGGGCGGAAGCCUGAUGCAGCAACGUUGGGUGCGGGAUGACGGCCUUCGGGUUGUAAACAGAUUUCGCAUGUGACGAAGAGUGAGUGACGGUAAUGGGUAAAGAAGCACCGGCUAACUACGUG